GGCCCGCCCUCCACCGAGUUCCGGCCACAGAGCGGGCCCUGCCCGGCGGUGUGCGGCCACAUCUUCCUUCAGCUCUAGCUUAGCUGCUACAUUGGGAAGCCACUAAAACCUUUAAAACCAGCAAAAACCCAGCCACAAACAUUUGAAAUGAGGCCCAAGCCUGGGACACAGGGGGACCAGGUGGAACAUUCGCCCACUCCCUGGGACCCGCCCUUACCCUGUGGUUCUCAGUGUGGCUCCUGGACCAGCCGCAGCACCAUCACAGGGACACCUAGACAUGCAGCAUCCCGGGCCACACCCCAGACCCACUGAGUCAGGAGCUCCCGGGCGCACCCAGCCACGUCUGGGUUUUCAUCAGAGCUAAGGAGGCAGAAUUUUGGCCCCCGUGACCUUUUCCCCUUGGUGCUACACCCUUGAAUAUGUUACAUGGCAAAAAGGGACUUUGCAGAUAUAAUUAAAGUUCUUAAUCAGUUACCCUUUUUUAAGGAAAGGAGUUUAUUCAAGAUUAUCCCCUAAAAACAGAAGUCAGAGAAACGUGUAAGUCCAAGUCAUUGAGAUGAGACGCAGGAAGAGGGUUCAGAGUUCGCUGCCGGCUCCGAACGUGGAGGGGCCUGAAGCCAAGGAGCCUGGGCAGCCCUGACAGCCACUCCUGGCCAGCAGCCGGCAAAGAAACAGGGUCCUCACUCCUGCCAAGAACUUGAAUGAGACUGGAAGCAAAUUCUCCCCUAACAGCCUCUGGACAAGGGCCCAGGCUGGCCAACAUCUUUCUUUCUACCUUUUGAGACCCAGAGCAGAGAAACCGAUAGGACCCACCCAGACUUCCCACCUACACAACUGCGAUGACACGGGUGCUGGUGGUGACUCAUCAAGGCAGCAACAGAAAAUGGACACAGCCGUGUUUCAUCAGCUACAUGCUAUAGCUUGUUACUGACCACCUGCAGUGGAGCUGCCACCAAAAUGCAGAUUUUUGUGAAAACCCUCACAGGGAAGACCAUCACCCUCAAGGUUGAACCCUCAGAUACGAUAGAAAAUAUAAAGGCCAAGACCCAGGAUAAGGAAAGAAUUCCUCCUGAUCAGUAAAGACUGAUCUUUGCUAGCAAGCAACUGGAGGAUGGAUGUGCUUUGUCUGACUACAACAUUCAAAAGGAGUCUACUCUUCAUCUUGUGUUGAGACUUCGUGGUGGUGCUAAGAAAAGGAAGAAGUCUUACACCACUCCCAAGAAGAAUAAGCACAAGAGGAAGAAGAUUAAGCUGGCUGUCCUGAAAUACUAUAAGGUAGACGAGAAUGGCAAAAUUAGUCACCUUCAUCGAGAGUGCCCUUCUGAUGAAUGUGGUGCUGGAGUGUUUAUGGCAAGCCACUAUGACAGACAUUAUUGUGGCAAAUGUUGUCUGACUUACUGCUUCAACAAACCAGAAGACAAGGAACUGUAUGAGUUAAUAAAAGACAUGAACUAACAAACAAAACAAAACAAACAAACAAACAAAAUCAUUUCCUUUUGCGUUUCCUCCUGCCUCAGCCUCCCAAGUAGCUGGGACUACAGGUGCACACCACCACGCCCAGCUAAUUUUUCUAUUUUUGGUAGAAACGGGGUCUCACCAUGUUGGUCAGGCUGGUCUUGAACUCCUGACCUCAGGUGAUCCACCCACCGUGGCCUCCCAAAGUGCUGGGAUUACAGGUGUGAGCCACCGUGCCUGGCCAACUUUAAACUUUCUA
Molecule: long non-coding RNA, 1714 nt
Filed under: Homo sapiens (human)
Lineage: Eukaryota; Metazoa; Chordata; Mammalia; Primates; Hominidae
Description: non-protein coding lnc-PCSK2-2:2
Source: RNAcentral